This is a long non-coding RNA of Sardina pilchardus (European sardine), 694 nucleotides long. RefSeq lists it as uncharacterized. The record is from RefSeq and is a predicted model, not a curated record. Lineage: Eukaryota; Metazoa; Chordata; Actinopteri; Clupeiformes; Clupeidae. The transcript is spliced from 3 exons.
UGAAGCAAAAUCCUUUCUGUUUUAAAUAAUCUACAAUUAAAAAUUGAUGACAUGACUUUUGUUGUUUUUUUUCCAUAGCUGUGUGCGGAAUUCAAGGGAUCACUGGAUGGAUGCUCCAUCUGCAAACCUGAUGAAGGCAUUUAGUACCUAUGACUGAGGAUUCUGGCAUUGAUGUCUGCCACGAAUGUGCUCUCCUCUCAAGGGACUGUGCCUAUAUGAAUGAAGACCCUUAGAGCGUCGUGAAGGAAUGCAUGCCAGGUGUUCGUAGUCACACGGCCACGGCAGAGACCAUAUAUGGCAUCAGAUGGUCGCUGUCGCCCCCCCCCAGAGGACAUUUGGAUCGUUCUUGAGGCCAUAGGAGCUACGUAACGUACCAUUUGCUUUUGGACUGUGUUUAGUUAUAUGAGCAGCUACAGUUUCUACUUUCUAAACAAUGUUUGAUUGUAUCUGUUAUGUGAAAACACACAAUAUGCACUUCAGUGAGCAUUUAAAUGUGCACUUGAACCCUUAACAUGCAAUAUAGCUUUACAAUAUUGUGAUGGGGUUUUUUGUAUGUUAGGCUCUUUCAAUAUAAAAGUUGAAUGUUGUGCACUUAAACCGUAAUGUGAAUAUAAGGCUUGAAAUACAGUUUGUAUAUCAAAAAACAUCUUUGUAUGUUAUUUGUUUCAUCUUUUAGGCCCGUCAUUGCAUAAUG